This 435-nucleotide ribosomal RNA is filed under the name uncultured bacterium. Its description in RNAcentral is "bacterial SSU rRNA". It matches the Rfam family "Bacterial small subunit ribosomal RNA", at positions 43 to 524 of the family's 1533-position model. The record is from RNAcentral.
CAGGCCUGACACAUGCAAGUCGAACGAGACCUUCGGGUCUAGUGGCGCACGGGUGCGUAACGCGUGGGAAUCUGCCCUUUGGUACGGAAUAACUCGGGGAAACUCGUGCUAAUACCGUAUGAUGUCGCAAGACCAAAGAUUUAUCGCCAAGGGAUGAGCCUGCGUAGGAUUAGCUAGUUGGUGAGGUAAUGGCUCACCAAGGCGACGAUCGGUAGCUGGUCUGAGAGGAUGAUCAGCCACACUGGGACUGAGACACGGCCCAGACUCCUACGGGAGGCAGCAGUGGGGAAUAUUGGACAAUGGGCGAAAGCCUGAUCCAGCCAUGCCGCGUGAGUGAUGAAGGCCCUAGGGUUGUAAAGCUCUUUCGUCAGGGACGAUAAUGACGGUACGUGAAGAAGAAGCCCCGGCUAACUUCGUGCCAGCAGCCGCGGUAAU